UCCCUGGUGGCUCAGAUGGUAAAGAAUCUGCCUGCAAUGCAGGAGACCCAGGUUCCAUCCCUGGGUAAGGAA
Molecule: transfer RNA, 72 nt
Filed under: Bos taurus (domestic cattle)
Lineage: Eukaryota; Metazoa; Chordata; Mammalia; Artiodactyla; Bovidae
Also listed under: 3 other names
Rfam family: tRNA
About the family: Transfer RNA (tRNA) molecules are approximately 80 nucleotides in length. Their secondary structure includes four short double-helical elements and three loops (D, anti-codon, and T loops). Further hydrogen bonds mediate the characteristic L-shaped molecular structure. tRNAs have two regions of fundamental functional importance: the anti-codon, which is responsible for specific mRNA codon recognition, and the 3' end, to which the tRNAs corresponding amino acid is attached (by aminoacyl-tRNA synthetases). tRNAs cope with the degeneracy of the genetic code in two manners: having more than one tRNA (with a specific anti-codon) for a particular amino acid; and 'wobble' base-pairing, i.e. permitting non-standard base-pairing at the 3rd anti-codon position.
Source: Rfam by way of RNAcentral